Homo sapiens (human) is the source of this 1373-nucleotide long non-coding RNA. Ensembl annotates it as Fc gamma receptor Ib, pseudogene. Its record names the gene FCGR1BP. The record is from Ensembl. Lineage: Eukaryota; Metazoa; Chordata; Mammalia; Primates; Hominidae.
GGCUCUGGAGCCACCAGCAGAACCUCUUCAAUAUCUUGCAUGUUACAGAUUUCACUACUCCCACCAGCUUGGAGACAACAUGUGGUUCUUGACAACUCUGCUCCUUUGGGUUCCAGUUGAUGGGCAAGUGGACACCACAAAGGCAGUGAUCACUUUGCAGCCUCCAUGGGUCAGCGUGUUCCAAGAGGAAACCAUAACCUUGCACUGUGAGGUGCUCCAUCUGCCUGGGAGCAGCUCCACACAGUGGUUUCUCAAUGGCACAGCCACUCAGACCUCGACCCCCAGCUACAGAAUCACCUCUGCCAGUGUCAAUGACAGUGGUGAAUACAGGUGCCAGAGAGGUCUCUCAGGGCGAAGUGACCCCAUACAGCUGGAAAUCCACAGAGGCUGGCUACUACUGCAGGUCUCCAGCAGAGUCUUCAUGGAAGGAGAACCUCUGGCCUUGAGGUGUCAUGCGUGGAAGGAUAAGCUGGUGUACAAUGUGCUUUACUAUCGAAAUGGCAAAGCCUUUAAGUUUUUCCACUGGAAUUCUAACCUCACCAUUCUGAAAACCAACAUAAGUCACAAUGGCACCUACCAUUGCUCAGGCAUGGGAAAGCAUCGCUACACAUCAGCAGGAAUAUCACAAUACACUGUGAAAGAGCUAUUUCCAGCUCCAGUGCUGAAUGCAUCUGUGACAUCCCCACUCCUGGAGGGGAAUCUGGUCACCCUGAGCUGUGAAACAAAGUUGCUCUUGCAGAGGCCUGGUUUGUAGCUUUACUUCUCCUUCUACAUGGGCAGCAAGACCCUGCGAGGCAGGAACACAUCCUCUGAAUACCAAAUACUAACUGCUAGAAGAGAAGACUCUGGGUUAUACUGGUGCGAGGCUGCCACAGAGGAUGGAAAUGUCCUUAAGCACAGCCCUGAGUUGGAGCUUCAAGUGCUUGGCCUCCAGUUACCAACUCCUGUCUGGUUUCAUGUCCUUUUCUAUCUGGCAGUGGGAAUAAUGUUUUUAGUGAACACUGUUCUCUGGGUGACAAUACGUAAAGAACUGAAAAGAAAGAAAAAGUGGAAUUUAGAAAUCUCUUUGGAUUCUGGUCAUGAGAAGAAGGUAAUUUCCAGCCUUCAAGAAGACAGACAUUUAGAAGAAGAGCUGAAAUGUCAGGAACAAAAAGAAGAACAGCUGCAGGAAGGGGUGCACCGGAAGGAGCCCCAGGGGGCCACGUAGCAGCGGCUCAGUUGGUGGCCAUCGAUCUGGACCGUCCCCUGCCCACUUGCUCCCCGUGAGCACUGCGUACAAACAUCCAAAAGUUCAACAACACCAGAACUGUGUGUCUCAUGGUAUAUAACUCUUAAAGCAAAUAAAUGAACUGACUUCAACUGGGAUACAUUUG